AGUGAACGCUGGCGGUAGGCCUAACACAUGCAAGUCGAACGGCAAGACAGUAAGCUCUCGCCCCUACGGGUGGCGAGUGGCGGACGGGUGACGAAUACAUCGCAAUCUUCUUUUUCUGGGGUGAUAACGUAGGGCAACAUACGCUAAUACCGCAUAUGUCCUACGGGUGAAAGCAGUGGAUCUUCGGACCUUGCGUGUCUGAAUGAGACGAUGCCGCAUUAGCUAGUUGGCAGGGUAAGGGCCCACCAAGGCGACGAUGCGUAGCGGAUCUGAGAGGAUGAUCGGCCACACUGGAACUGAGACACGGUCCAGACUCCUACGGGAGGCAGCAGUAGGGAAUAUUGGGCAAUGGGCGAAAGCCUGACGGAGCAACGCCGCGUGAGUGAUGAAGGUCUUCGGAUCGUAAAACUCUGUUAUUAGGGAAGAACAACUGCGGAAGUAAACAUGCAUGUUUUGACGGUACCUAAUCAGAAAGCCACGGCUAACUACGUG
Molecule: ribosomal RNA, 492 nt
Filed under: uncultured bacterium
Lineage: Bacteria
Description: partial 16S ribosomal RNA
Rfam family: Bacterial small subunit ribosomal RNA
Source: RNAcentral